Pelobates cultripes (western spadefoot toad) is the source of this 262-nucleotide non-coding RNA. The record is from the annotation of a GenBank genome assembly. Lineage: Eukaryota; Metazoa; Chordata; Amphibia; Anura; Pelobatidae.
AUACAAAAUACAUAAAUUCUGAGAAAAUACAGUGUUUACAUUGAAAGCUAGGAACACCUCCAGUUGCAGUCACUCCGAGUGAACCAGAGGGACUUCCGAGUUGAUGGAGGCAUAAAACUCCUCAAUCCACUCAGAUCAGCUAUGUGCAACACUGUGCACGAGCAUCCUGUCUGCAGGCUGUCACGUGGUAUUGAGAGCUGACAGGCUGGAGGAGCUGACAGGAUGAAGACCAGAGACCGAGCAGGAGGGGAGGAUUCAAACU